UGGCGACCGGCGCACGGGUGAGUAACACGUAUCCAACCUGCCGAUAACUCGGGGAUAGCCUUUCGAAAGAAAGAUUAAUAUCCGAUAGCAUACCAAGAUCGCAUGAUCUUGAUAUUAAAGAAUUUCGGUUAUCGAUGGGGAUGCGUUCCAUUAGUUAGUUGGCGGGGUAACGGCCCACCAAGACGACGAUGGAUAGGGGUUCUGAGAGGAAGGUCCCCCACAUUGGAACUGAGACACGGUCCAAACUCCUACGGAAGGCAGCAG
Molecule: ribosomal RNA, 264 nt
Filed under: uncultured bacterium
Lineage: Bacteria
Description: partial 16S ribosomal RNA
Rfam family: Bacterial small subunit ribosomal RNA
Source: RNAcentral